Molecule: transfer RNA, 78 nt
Filed under: Clostridia bacterium
Lineage: Bacteria; Bacillati; Bacillota; Clostridia
Description: tRNA-Pro
Rfam family: tRNA
About the family: Transfer RNA (tRNA) molecules are approximately 80 nucleotides in length. Their secondary structure includes four short double-helical elements and three loops (D, anti-codon, and T loops). Further hydrogen bonds mediate the characteristic L-shaped molecular structure. tRNAs have two regions of fundamental functional importance: the anti-codon, which is responsible for specific mRNA codon recognition, and the 3' end, to which the tRNAs corresponding amino acid is attached (by aminoacyl-tRNA synthetases). tRNAs cope with the degeneracy of the genetic code in two manners: having more than one tRNA (with a specific anti-codon) for a particular amino acid; and 'wobble' base-pairing, i.e. permitting non-standard base-pairing at the 3rd anti-codon position.
Source: RNAcentral
CGGGGUGUAGCGCAGCUUGGCUAGCGCAUUUGCUUUGGGAGCAAAGGGUCGCAGGUUCGAAUCCUGUCACCCCGACCA